This 497-nucleotide ribosomal RNA is filed under the name uncultured bacterium. Its description in RNAcentral is "partial 16S ribosomal RNA". It matches the Rfam family "Bacterial small subunit ribosomal RNA", at positions 36 to 507 of the family's 1533-position model. The record is from RNAcentral.
UCCUCCCUCUUUCUUCGUGCCUAAUACAUGCAAGUUGAGCGCUGAAGGUUGGUACUUGUACCAACUGGAUGAGCAGCGAACGGGUGAGUAACGCGUGGGGAAUCUGCCUUUGAGCGGGGGACAACAUUUGGAAACGAAUGCUAAUACCGCAUAAAAACUUUAAACACAAGUUUUAAGUUUGAAAGAUGCAAUUGCCUCACUCAAAGAUGAUCCCGCGUUGUAUUAGCUAGUUGGUGAGGUAAAGGCUCACCAAGGCGAUGAUACAUAGCCGACCUGAGAGGGUGAUCGGCCACAUUGGGACUGAGACACGGCCCAAACUCCUACGGGAGGCAGCAGUAGGGAAUCUUCGGCAAUGGACGAAAGUCUGACCGAGCAACGCCGCGUGAGUGAAGAAGGUUUUCGGAUCGUAAAACUCUGUUGGUAGAGAAGAACGUUGGUGAGAGUGGAAAGCUCAUCAAGUGACGGUAACUACCCAGAAAGGGACGGCUAACUACGUG